AUUGAACGCUGGCGGCAUGCCUUACACAUGCAAGUCGAACGGCAGCACGGGUGCUUGCACCUGGUGGCGAGUGGCGAACGGGUGAGUAAUACAUCGGAACAUGUCCUGUAGUGGGGGAUAGCCCGGCGAAAGCCGGAUUAAUACCGCAUACGAUCUACGGACGAAAGCGGGGGACCUUCGGGCCUCGCGCUAUAGGGUUGGCCGAUGGCUGAUUAGCUAGUUGGUGGGGUAAAGGCCUACCAAGGCGACGAUCAGUAGCUGGUCUGAGAGGACGACCAGCAGCAGUGGGACGGAGACGCGGCCCAGAAGCGUAAGGGAGGCAGCAGUGGGGAAUUUUGGACAAGGGGCGGAAGCCUGAACCAGCAAUGCGGCGUGUGUGAAGAAGGCCUUCGGGUUGUAAAGCACUUUUGUCCGGAAAGAAAUCCUUUGCCCUAAUACGGGCGGGGGAUAACGGAACCGGAAGAAUAAGCACGGGCUAACUAGGU
This 485-nucleotide ribosomal RNA is filed under the name uncultured bacterium. RNAcentral's name for it is "partial 16S ribosomal RNA". It matches the Rfam family "Bacterial small subunit ribosomal RNA", at positions 29 to 506 of the family's 1533-position model. The record is from RNAcentral.